RNAcentral lists this long non-coding RNA (33466 nucleotides) under Citrus maxima (pomelo). Its description in RNAcentral is "long non-coding RNA (CMAX_LNC003753)". Lineage: Eukaryota; Viridiplantae; Streptophyta; Magnoliopsida; Sapindales; Rutaceae. The record is from RNAcentral.
GCAAUGCAUUAUUAUUAGGGAUCUAGUGCUUGAGCUUGCUUUGACAUCAUGGUAUUAGCAAAUUCUGAUAUAGCCAAAAUGGUGAAUAAGAUGAUGUACUUGAUAAGAAAAACCUGAUUUAACAAAUAAUUAAGAAGCCGGUAACAAUCACAUAAUCUCAUCAUGUGGGGAAUGCCUUGGCAACAGAAGAUGGUGCUUUCAUUCAAGCAAUAGCAACUUUCCAAUUUCAUAAGGUAGUUUAAUGGCCCUUUUAAGAACAUCUGUACCAGCCUAACAAUUAUUCAUGGAAAUUAAAAUUCAGAAUCAUAUUAGAUUGAGAGAUGAAAUAUAAUAAGCGAUUUGGCCACCAUAUAUGCAUUUAUCACCUUCAAUUUGCUCAUCUUUGUCUGGAGUAUUGCUUCUGCAUUAACUUAAUUAGCUUGCAAGCCACCUACAAAUGGUUUUAAAUAAUGUGUGAGAGUGUGAAUUCGAACGAAUUAAUCAAAUAUGCUGACAGGAGAAACAAAAGUAAAUAACCACAAGAAGUAGAAAUAUACUUUUGUUAUAUUCAGAGCAUCUUCUUGCGUCAAGUUCUUUUCCUUUAGCUCUGUUUCUGUUUGUGCUCAAACAGAAUGGCUCAAGGGUCAAGAUAAUUUUAUGACCAUCAAUCUUUUUGCAGCCACAUGCAGACUUGAAAAACUGGUCGUGGCACUAAGGAACUUGAAAAUUAGAAAAGAUUCAGAAUGAGUGACUAAAUAUUAUAAUCGAAACUAAUUAAACAUACACGCCUAGAAAAUCUGAAACUGAACUUCUCAAAUGUAUAUGCCUCUUCGCAGCAAUUGCUUGUGGUGGAAACUUUACCGCAAGGACUUUCUCAAACCCUUGAAGAUCACACUCUACCUGAUAACAAAGAAACAUAGUCAAUAUACGAAGAUGAUUUUACUAACAAGUGAGUGCUUACACAUAUUGGAAGGAUAAUGAUUACUCAUAACCCAAAUCCCCAACACUCCCUAAUAUCUCACUCAAGUGAGUACGAGCUCCCAGAAUUCACUACUGUGAAACUCUUACAACAAAAUUCCCUUUAAAGAUUCUCUACUCAAAUUUGAUGAUGAUGUCCCUCGAAAGGAGGCAAAAAAUCUAACACUGAUCAAAUUGGCUUGUGAACAAUUAAUCUUCCUGGCGAUCAUGCAUACCAGGUGUGGUGAGCAAUCUUCAUUCUGACAUUUGCCUUAAUAAGCGGCUUAGUAUCCUUAACCUGAUAACUUACACAAACAAAAACAACUUGAUUAAAGUAUAAUAUUUAGAGGCAGAACAGUAAAGAAGAUGAUAUAUAUUGGUACUAAAAUUUGACCUGUGUUAUCCUGACGUCAAGAAUCACAGCAUCUCAUGUGGGCAGAAUAUUCGCAGUACAAGAUGCUUGCAAAAUUGAAGCAGCAUCUUAUCACCUGUAAUUUAAUUAAGACAAUAACUUUCCCCAACCAUUUCAAUGCAUUAUUGGCAACUAAAUUCAGAGGGUGCUAAUUAAAUAGCCUUUGAACAAUAUAUUCUAAUUCUUCUCCAAUCUAACAAUUAUUUGGAAAAUCUGAAUGACAAUCAUGCAUCGACGACAUCAAAAUUUGGCUACAAAGCAGCCUGGAAAAGGCUUUACUCUCUGAAUGAGAGCAUGAAUUCGAAACAAAUAUCAUGAAUGAAGAAACAAAGGCAUAAUACCACAAAAAGUAAAACUUUUCCCAGGGCUAUCUGUUUCUGUUUGAACUAAAACCAAUGGAAACCGAUGGAAAUGAAUUUCUAGGAAUUAGACAUAUCAGCCAAAACAGGUACUCUGUACAAGCAAAGUAAAAUAGGGUUACAAAAAAUUUUAAGAUUGAUAUGAUAAUUAAAAUUUCAGUCACCAUAUAAUUAAUAGAAAACUUUGGACACAAUGAUUUAUUGCAUAUUAAGAUUGCUAUAUAAAAUAUAAUAUUAGCAUUAGGAGACCGCACCGAAGCAUACCGAAUUGAAUGUGCCUUUUCACAGCCAUUUUACAAGCUUUGAAGCUUCACCACAAAUGCUUUUUCCAACCCGUGAACAUGGUGCACCCGAGAGAUGCAAGCUAUGAAAUUGUUACUACAGCAAGCGUUGGAACAUUUGUUAAAAAAGGAAGUUUAUGAAAAUACGCCUUUGGAUACCAGUCUUCAGGAAUCAAUUCAUCCGUAAUAACAAUUUUCAAGAAUUAUCAACUGCUUUAAGCUCAUCGACAUCACAAAGAUCUCAACUAAAAUAGAGCAGAUCCGGCCAUCACUAUCCCUUCUACUGCUCUUUUCCUUUAGAGAAUGAUUGAAUUACAGAAUGCGUGUAAGGCAUUCUUAUUCAAGGUCCAAUGAUCAAACCUUGCACUAUAACAACAGAGGUAGUAGUUUCUUCGCCAGCCUAAUCCUUGGUCUCAGGAAUGUCCUCAACAGAGUACUCGAAAUCAACCUAAAAAUUAAGAAUGAGUUGGAAAACUGUUUAUGGCCCUAAAGAACUUGAAAAUAAGAAAAGAUUAAGAAUGAGUGACUAAACAUUUAAUCGCAACUAAACAUACAAACCUUGAAAAUCUAACUUUGAAGUACUCUUGAAUGAAUGAGCAGUUGCACGAGCUGGUGACAACUAAGGUUACUGUGAAGUCUCUUACAAAUCCUUAAAGAUGAUACUUUACAUACCACGAUAACCUGAUAACACAUAGGAACACAAUAAACAUUAAAGUGUAUUCUGACAAUGCAAAUUUGUGGAAAUCAUCAGCUGUGGUUACCUGGACAAUAUUGCCAACACCAAACUCCUUCCUCAAUUGAAACAUAUGAUCAGCCCACAAAUGCUUUGCUUUGUAGCUUUUGAGAGCCUGAAAUUGUUAUCACAACCAACAAUGAAAAUUGGGUGAAAAAAUUGAUAAUAUUAGCUUAAUUCCAUAUGUUUAUAUAGGAUAAACCGAUCAAAGAAUGAAAAAAGAUAGAAACAGAGCAGACCCAGCCAUCACUUUCUUCUUCAAAGUCGCACCAUAACCACAGUGGUAGUCGUUCCACUGCCAGCCUAAUCCUUGGUCACCCCAAUGUUCUCCAUGAAGUAUUCAAAGUCAACCUAAAAAUAAAUAAAAAUGCAAUGCAGGUGGAAAUGAAAAUUCUAUAAAUUAAAUAAAAUAAAAAUGCAAUGCUUGAGCUUGAGCUUGCUUUAGCAUCAUCGUAAUAGUAAAUUUUGAUAUAUCUUUACUUCUCUGUUCUUGUUUAUUCACAACAAGAUAUCAAUAGAAGAAGAUGGAAAUGAAAUUCUAUAAAAUAAAGCAAGUGAAUUACCAACAGAACAUUUUAGCAAUCCUUUGGCUAAACUUUUCAUUUUCUUAGCAUACUCUCCUGCCUGGUGAACAUAAUUAAACAAGUAUGAAAUAAAACAAAGUGGGCUAAUGUAGUAAAAACAAUAACACAAUUACUUUAAAGAAUUAAUGUCACGUAUAUUAUAUAUAAAAAAAUACGAUUAUCAUUAUAUAAGAUAAAAUUGAUAAUUUAGUUUUCAACAUUACUGCAAACGUAUCACAGAGAUUUUGUUACACAUAACAAAUUUUCGUACAUAUGAAAAUAAAUUACAUUGCAUGAAAUUUUACAAAAGAGCACAUAUUUUUUAAAAGUAAAUAAAUAUAGAAAUUUCAACAGACUACACUUGUAUUUUUUUUUAAUUAUUUAAUCUUUAGAAAACAAGUUUAACAGAUUUGAUAACUAGGAAGUUUUACGUAUUUAUACCAUGAUUGAUUCUAUAUAGAAUUUUAAUUCAAAAUAUAAUUAUUUUUAUUAAUUUCAUUGCAAGCAACAACGAAGUAAAUUAGAGGAGGAGGAGAAAUUACCGGCGAGUGAUAAAUUACCGCGACCACUUGAUGUGGGGAAUGCGAGAUAUCUUAUGCCAGUCUUCUCCUUUCCCCUCUCUAUAACGGUUUUCCAGAAGAGGACAUCUGUCAAUAGUCAAUUCCUGCAGCGUCGUCGUCCGAAGAAGGUAAUCCGGCAGCACCUUUAAUUUGGGGCAAUACUCAAUUACCAAGGAAGAAAGACGUGGUAUGUCUGUUGUCCUGUGAUCUUCUAGAAUGGGCAGUUCUUCCAUAUUUGCACAAAAAGAAAUCCUCAGUUUCUGCAGUGCCGUCGUUCGAAGAAGGUAAUCCGGCAGCGCCUUCAAUUUGUUGCAAGAACGAACUUCCAAGGAAGAAAGACGGGGCAUGAUAGAGAUGUUUUCCUUCCUCGUAAUCCUGUAAUUCCACUCUUCCAAUUCUUCCAUGUCCCAAAUUAUGAGUGAUUUCAAUUUGGGGAAGGCAGUAACUGAUGAUGAUGAUGAAGAUGAAGACGGGCCAUCCUCACUGCUUUCUUCUAUUCCCAAAAACUCAUUACCCACUCUUUUUACACUUUUCAAGUACCAUAGUUCGAGUUUUUCCAGAGGCAAUUUUCCCAAAGGAGGCAAAUGCUCACACUUAAGGCACGAGCGAAGAUAUAAAUUCCUUAGAUUGGUCAGUGAAGUCAACCAUUUGGGAAAAAUGUUGCGUCCAUAUAAUAUAAUCCCUAAUUUCUCUACACUCAAAGGCGGUUGUAAGGCUUUAAGAAGUUGUUCAUCUUUCUCUUUCUUCCUCCUCCUUUCUUCAUCUUCCCCAUCUACGACUCUACCAAACUCAAGACGCAAACGAAGGAGGUUUUGCUGAUUGUAAAGUUGUAAUCUCUCGACCUCAUCUAAACGGGACACAUUACCCAGCCCUUCAAUUCCACAUUCUCGAAGGAGUUGAAGAUUUUUCAGAGAUUCAAGCCUACAAGUAUUGCUACCAUCAACACCUCCACCCACCACAAACUUGUCUAAUGUUCGAAGACUGGUUAAUUUGGAAAUCCCUACUGGCAUGUAUUUCAACGAAUAAGUUUCAGCAUUCAGUAAACUCCUCAUGUUCUUUAACUUCCCAAUCCCCGCUGGCAAUUCUUUAAGAUUUCGGCACCGCCUAAUAUCUAGCUUUUGUAAAUUAUAUAAUUCACACAAAGUCUUAGGUAGUCUCUCUAUGCCUAAUUCAGACAAAUUAAGAUAUCUUAAAUGUAUCAAUUUUCCGACAUUUUUUGGAAUUUCUCUAAUCAAACUUGAGUGAAGACGAACAGGCGAGGAUGAUAGCCUUAUAACUAAUGAUUCCCUUAUAACUAAUGCCCUCAAACAUGCCAAUUUACUAAAUAACUUUCGAGUUUCUCUAAUCUUAUAUGUGUUUGGACAAAAACAUAGGCGCAACAGCCUUAUAACUAAUGCCCUUAAACAUUCUUUGCUACUACUAAAAGACGAAAGGAUGCUACUAAGAGACAGAUUGAAAUCACUUCUAUCAUAAAUUAAAAGGGUACGCAAUCUAUCAAGUCCACGAAUGGAUAUAGGAAAUGAAGUGCCUCUUUGAAAAUUUAACCCUAAGUGACGGACUUUGUCACCAAAAGAGUUUAUGACUGAGUCUUUGGUACCAUUAAUUUCUACCCACAAACAUUCUUUUCUACUUACAAAUUGGGCAAAAUCAUGUAUUAUGUCAUGCAUCUUGCAGCUCAUAAUAUCAUCAUCAUCAUCUUUUUUAAACUCUUGAAAGAAAGAGCGUGCUGCUAAAAUGUUGAAAUACUCUUCCCCAAUCAUCUCCAUCUCUUCGUCUUCUUCUGUAUUAAGAUAACCUUGAGCCAUCCAUAGUGAAAUUAGUUCCUCUUUAUUCAUAUUGUAGUUUUUUGGAAAGACAGCACAAUAUGAGAAACAUUGUUUUACCAUAGAAUUGGAGGGCAAAUCGUUAUAACUCAACAACAAAGGAGCUAAAAGACCUUGCCCAAUUGCUUCUACUUUCCACAUUUCACUCUCUAAAAUUCUUUGCCACUCUUUUACUGUACUUUUAGAGCGCAAGAGAUUCCCUAUUACCUUUGCAGCAAGAGGCAGGCCUUUGCACUUAUGUGCAAUUUUGCGCCCGAUUGGUUCUAAUUUUUCACGAUCCUCAAAGGACCUACGUAGAAAUGCCAUCUGCUUAAACAGUAACCAACAUUCCCCUUCUCCCAACUCCUUGACAGGGAUAAUAUCUAUUGAUCCCAACUGUAGUGCAACUGACCUAUCACGUGUGGUAAUUAGAAUUUUACUUUCAUGGUGGCCAUUCUUUAGACAAGAAAAGAAUGGGUCCCAUUUUUUGUAAUCUACAUCCCACACAUCAUCUAAAACAAGAAAAAACUUUUUUCCUUCAAUUGAUGUAUGGAUAUGGCUCAUAAGAGAUUGGAAUUCGCUUAAAUCAUAAGCUUCUUUUGACUUGCCUAGACCUUCAAUGAUUGCUUUGGCAACCCUAAUCCUCUCAAAAGUGUCUGAUACACACACCCAUAUAACUUUUUCAAAAUUUCUUUUCACCUCAUCAUUAUUAUAGGCCAGUUGUGCAAGAGUGGUUUUACCUAUACCCCCUAACCCAACUAGUGAGAUGAUAUGAAGGCCUUCUUGUUGUUCACUACUUUGACACAACAACUUGCUUAAGAGCUCAUCUUUCUCAUUAACUCUACCGCAAACCUCUCCCUCAUCAAUCAAGGAGGUGGUUCGCACUCGCUCUGGUUUCUUGACAUUGUUACUCACAUUCUCAACAAAUUUAAACAUAUCUUUUCGAGUGGCAAUACCAUCUAGCUUUUCAUUGAUUUCCCUAAUCUUGACAGCAAUGUCAUGACGAAGACUGAGUUGUUUGAAACUGCCACAGCAGUUUGAUACAGCACAAAAGAAGGAACGUACCUUCUUCUUAUGAACGCCCUCAAUCUGCAAUUUGAGCCUUGCAGUGGUCCACUCCUCCAACACAUCUUCCAUGUCGUAAGAUGCGUCUUUGAGCUGAUCCAGCCAAAAAGUAACAUCUUUCUCGUGCUGCAUUUGCCUUUUCUCUGCAUCUUCCAGCACAAGUUGAAUGGCUUGUAGAUUGCUGGUGAGCUUUUUCACUUCUUCGUCGACACCAGUAACAAGCCUCACCUGUUGUUUCAGUUCAUCAGUUGCAACUGAGCUCAGCUGCUCCAGGAGAGAGGAAACGAUCGCAUCAACCAUUCUGACAAAGAAGAUGAGAAUUCUGAAGAGUUAUUAGAUGUGCUUUUGUUGCGAAGAUAUGAAAGAAAGGAGUUAUUGCAUUCUUUUAUACUGCAUAGAAAAGGUUUAUGCUUAUCCCCACCCCACACGUCAAUGAUUGUAGAAUGUUUAAUUUCCCUGAUUCUACUCCACUAGUUGUGAUGCGUAAUUAUAAAUAUUCUCAAGUUAUGUAUGAAAAUCCCACAAAUUUGGAUCUAGUAAUGAUUUUUAUGUAUUUUUUCAUAAUCUUCUAAAAUACUAUAUCUGCAUGUUAUUUCGUGCAGAAAUAUGGCAUUGGGUGAAAAAAGUUAUGCUUAUCCCCACCCACACGUUAGUAAUUGUAGUAGCAUCUGUAAUUUCCAUGAUUCUACUCCACGGACGAACACAUUUUUUGUACUAACAUCUUUAAAUUCCCACACGUUAGGAAUUUGGCACAUAAUCUCAAACUCGUCGCAUCUUUAACGUAUGAGGUUGAUGAAUAAAUUCUUUUCUCAUAUCAAUUUAAAACUCCGAGAUUAUGUGCCAAAUUCCUAACGUGUGGGAAUUUUACCUCCUAAGUAAUCCGGCCCACUGCCAAGUGCCAACUUUUUCUCUGUCGAGUUAAUGAUGUUGUUUUGUUUUCCUUGUUUUAAUUAAUGUUGCGGAGAGAAACAGAUCGAUGCAAAUGGCUAGCCAGGUUUUGCAGAAACCGUGAAUGGUCUUGCAUGCAUGUGACAUAAAGCUUUAUAUAUAGCUUAUUCCUCCAUCAACAUUUCAAUGGUUCCAUCUCACGUGCACUUGGCUAUGAAUAAGGUCCAUGCAUGGAUCGAUCGAUUUAGGAGUUUGGACCAUCUCAUGCUGCAGAGUUAUGUGUCAUGUAUGUGUGUUGACACUUGCCAGUUCAUUUUUGUUAUAAAGAUUAUUGAUACUCGUAAAUGUACUACUUACAAAUCAUAAAUUUUGAGUUUGACACUUUAGUUUCAUUUUGUAAUCCCUACGCUCUUUAAAUAUUUGUAAUAAUAUAUUUCAAACUUUAACUCAGACGUAAUGAAUGAAGGGGGAUCCUCUUCUUAUAUAAAUUUUUAUUUUUUAACGUUCAAGUUACAUUUGAUUACGUGUACUUAUUAUCUAGUUUUGACUAUCUAAUGACAUUUGAUUACGUGUACUUAUUAUAUGAUUUUUUUUUAAAUGAUGGGUCUGGUGAGAUUUUUUACAUCUUGGAUUAGUAGGUCAAGAACGGGCAGGGCAGGGCCUUCUCUGAAGUCAAUCUUGUGAGCAACACCAGCUUUUUGGAUAAUUGGCAGCCCCAAUUCAUAAUUUUCUCAGUUGAUGUCCAUGGCCAAAAUCUGCAACCGAAGCUUAUUCUACUCUUAUUAAUCGAGAGAUAAUUUUAUCUCUAACUAAUUUAAUUGGGAGGAAAAUUGAGAGAGAUAUCCACUCUGUCCUUAUUAAUUGAGAGAUAAUUUUACCCUUACCCAAUUUAAUUGGAAAGGAAAUCGAAUUCCAACAAUAACUAGGACUUGAAUCCAUGCACUUAAGCUAACUUUAAGUUUUAGGAUGCAUGGUUAUAAUGUUCUUUAUUUAAAUCCUAACAAAUGGUGGGACUUGAACUUGUGCCUACAAACAUUGAGUGCUUAGGGGCUGCAAAAUUUCAUAACUUAAUUUUAGUUGAUGUGGUAUGUGCCCUAUCACAUAAAUAUGUAGAUAAUAAUAAUUAAUACAUUAACAAAAUGAAAAAUAUUAGUUUACAAAAUACAAAUCCAAAUUUUUUGUGUGACAAGGGACUUAAAAGGGAGAGACUAAACAAAUGUGGUGAAAACGACAUGUAUUACUAAAACUAAAAAUACGAAGUCUAGGCAAUUGAAAACAUCGGGUUUUUUAUUUAAAUAUCCCCAAUUUGUCCUUAAAUACCAAAUUUAUACCCUAUUAUAUACAUAUACCUCACGAAGAUAGGGAAAAUAAAAAAUAACCUUAAAAAAAUCAAGAAUCCACACAUUUCUUCCUCUCAGUGCAGGAAGAUGUCGAGUACGAAGUCGGGUAAGUCGAGAAUUUAGUCGAGCAAGAAUUGGAGAUAAGUAAGUUGAGUAUAUGGUCCAGUAGGAAGUUGAGUAAGCAUAUUAAAUGAGUCCAGUAUUAAGUGGUAGAGUAUUAAGUAAAAGUCAAGUAAAUUUUUUAAACAAGUCAAAUAAAAUUUAUGUAAUUUUUAAAGAGGUUGAGUAUUAAGUCGGGUUAGUACAUUGGGUCGAGUGUUAAUAUUUUUAAAGAAGUGAAGUCUGGUAAGUUGAGCAUUCAGUCGAGUAAGAAGUUAAGGCAAUUGAAUAAGUCGAGUCUCUAGUCGAGUACGAAGUCGGGUAUAAAGUCUGGUAAGUUGAGCAUUCAGUCGAGUAAGAAGUGAAGGCAAUUGAAUAAGUCGAGUGUCUAGUCGAGUACGAAGUUGGGUAUGAAAUCUGGUAAGUUGAGCAUUCAGUCGAGUGAGAAGUGAAGGCAAUUGAAUAAGUCAAGUAUCUAGUCGAGUACGAAGUCGGGUAUGAAGUAUGGUAAGUUGAGCAUUCAGUUGAGUAAGAAGUGAAGGCAAUUGAAUAAGUCGAGUACGAAGUCGGGUAUGAAAUAUGGUAAGUUGAGCAUUCAGUCGAGUGAGAAGUUAAGGCAAUUGAAUAAGUCGAGUAUCUAGUUGAGUACGAAGUCGGGUAUGAAGUUUGGUAAGUUAAGCAUUUAAUCGAGUAAGAAGUGAAGGUAAUUGAAUAAGUCGAGUAUCUAGUUGAUUACGAAGUCGGAUCUGAAGUCUAGUAAGUUGAACAUUCAGUUGAGUAAGAAGUGAAAACAAUUGAAUAAGUCGAAUAUCUAGUCGAGUAAAAAAGUCGAGUAAGUAGAUUGAAUGAGUAGGGUAUUAAUUUUUUGUUGGCAUUUUAUUGAGGCUAUUUUUGUACUUUCUUUGGUUUUUUAAGUAUGUAUAUGCAAAGUACAGAUUUUAAUAGAUGGAUGUAUAUUUUGGGUAUUACGAGAGAAACGGGGUAUAUCCCACGCAAUUCCUUCGAAAACAUCUCUGUCAAUUGCAAUGAACAGAUCACAACCCUUCAUAAUUAAACAAAAUCAAACUUGAAAAAAAAAAUCACACACACACACACAAAACAAUCACAAAAACUAUUUGUUCUGAUCAUCCCUGCUUUUUUUUAGCGUAGCUCUUGGAAUGAAAAUUAACAAAAAGUGUCAAAAGAGAAGCAUUAAACACAGCAUUGAAGCACCAGCCCAAAAUCCCAGAGCAACCAAAUCCCGUAAAAUGAUAAUACAGCAUCAAAACCGAAACAACAAAACUAAACACAAACUGAACAAUCUAACAAUCAGUGACCAAUCUCUUCCACUUUGGCCGCAACCCCAUCACACACAAUAGAUAGUACCCGUACAUGAUCACAUGCACACUUGCAUUAGUCACAAGUGCAAUAGGAAACAAAGACUGCUUCGUCUGUAACCAAAGGUAGCACAUUACGACGACGGUUGCAUGGUGGUAGACGUGGAGGAACGUGAGCCAUUGGAUGGAUUUUGACAAAAUGAUCAAAAGGGUGUCUAAGAAUUCGAGUAUUUUGGAGAGGUAGAAGAGGUAAGCGUAGAAGAAGAGGGGCCAGACGGAGAAAUGGUGGGGGGGAAACAGAGGGUGUAAUGGAGGUGGGGCAAAUGGACGAUGAUGGAGAGAGUGCAGCCAACGGCCAUGAUGAGGGAGAGGAGGAGGAGGGUGAGGUUAUGGACGGCUGUGAUGGGCUUGAGGAUGUGGGGUCCAAUGAGAGGUGAUGAUGAUGGUGAUGUUGAUGUUGAUAUGUGGUAGAGGAUGAAUGUGAGGGAGAGGUAAGUGAGGAUGGAGAGAAUGAGGAAGUGUGGGGAAGAAGCUAGUGUUUGGUUCUGAGUCCAUGUGAAGCUGAGGAUUUGGGGGUGGUUUACAAGACAAUAUUGGAGUGUUGAGGUGAUUGAAUUUGAAGCCAUGGCUAGUUUUGGGGGAAGAAAGAUUUUGGAAGAGAUGAUGUUGAGAUGAACGGGGAGUUUAUAAAGUUUUGGGAUAAUGUGGAGGGUAUUUUGGACAUAUUGUUGUCUCAGCUUAAAUUUUGGGAAAAAGAUGAUCAAUAAGAAGCUCUUUUUUUCAUAUCAAUUUAAAACUCCGACGGUGUUUCCAAAAAUUGUUUUUCUUUUUCCGUUUUUAAUUUUAAAUCAUAAAUUUAGUAAAAGAAGUUGAAUCAAGUGAUCACUUUUUUUUUAAUGUAAAACAAUUAAUUUCUUUGUGAUUUAAGCAAAUAUUGAGUUGCAUACUUUAAAUAUAUUAAUAUUUGAUUCGAAAUUUCAUCUACCGAAACUACAAAAAUUAAUAUUUUCUAUUAAAUCAAAACCAAAAUUAAAGAUGACUCCUUGUCUGCCAACUGUCAUUAAACAAAGCCAUCACUCACGUGAAAAAAAAAAGUGAUAUAUUCAUUUUAACGUAAUUUCAUACCAACAUAUCAUUCUUUUUUUUCCAAUAAUGACCUCUUUAAUUAUAAAUAUGGUAAAAGGGGAUGGGUUCGAGGUAUGGCGUCCGGGCCUUUGUGACAACGGUAUCUUUGGACGUGGGUGUCGUUAGAUUUUUGGCUAUUUUCUGGUCAAUCAAACUGGUGGAUCACAUGCAUUUUAAUGACCUCUUUAAUUAUAAAAAUAUGGUAAAAGGGGAUGGGUUUAAGGAAUGGCGUCCAGGCCUUUGUGACAAAGUUGGAUGUGGGUGUCAUUUAGACUUUUGGCUAUUCUGCUCAAUCAAACUCGUGGAUUACAUGCACUCAACGCGGACAUUAUGGAAAUGGGAGAAAAUUAUGUUAGUAAUAGCAUCUUCAAAAGUUUCUAUACAUUUUACUCUUUAAAUAUUUAUUUACUUAUUUAUAUGAUAAAUAGAAAGGUAAAAAAAUAUAUUAUUCUCCAAAAAAACUCUUUCAAAUAAAAAUUAAGUUAAUAUUAUUUUAAUCAAAUAAUUAUUUUUUAAAGGAAAAGUUAACAGCAAUUAAAGCACUUCUCUUUCUCUCUCUAAUAAAAAGUAAUAAAAUAUUAAUUGAAGUGUUUUUUAGAACCUUAAAUGUUGAUGUGACUCUUCAAAUAAGUAAUAAAAUCUUAAUUGAAGAGCCUUUUGGUGAUGGUUUAAAACCCACUGUUUUCGUUCUAAACUAAGUGAAUUUAUCUCGUGAGCUAAGUAGUUUAGGAGAUAACUCAAAUAAUUAACUUUUAUUAGUUUAAUAAUAAGAAUUUUCGAUUAUAUUUUAAAAGGUAUAAUUCAUUACAAAAAAUUACUUAAUAAAAAUAACUUUAUUUAACAUAUUACAUUUUUUCAAUAAUAAAAUAAUUCAAAUUUUUAAUUAUUAUAACAAAAAAAAUUUGUAAUAUAAUCCAUUCAUAUACCACAUCACGUAAAAUUAACCUAGUACUACAUGUAAUCUUGUUACUACUAUUCCUAUAAUAUUCUACACAUCAUAUACUAUCAAAUUCCAUCCGGCAUGCCAAAUGUGCAAAGUUUGAGUAAGACUUGUUAAAGUUGAGAGUAACAUCUUAUAUGGCCAAGCGCAUUGAGUAUGGAUUUGCAUGAUCGAGUGAGUACAACUAAAGUCGGGUAGAGUCUGGAAAAUCCCUAUAAUGUUGAGGUUGGAGAACUAUACUUUUUAAGGUACAUAAUUAAACAAUUUUGGUAAAUAUUUACUAUUAUAACUUAAAAUUAAUUUGAUUUGAUCUCAUAUAUUAUUAUAAUAAAAAAACUUAUAAUAUCUUUAUUAAUUUUAUUAAAAAUUAUUAUUUAGAAGUCAUAUAUUUAUUACACAUUGUCAAAUUUUCAGCUUUUUGUUUUUUAACAACAGCUAGUAAUAUCAACAAGACCUAAGUUGAGUAUGAUCAAUUAAUUAAAAUUAUGAUUUUUUUUUGUAUAAAAUAAUCAUUAGAUAAUUAGUCUGUAAAGAAUAUCGGCUACUUCAAAUGGAAACUUGCGAUAAAAAAUGCAUCACAAAAGUAACAAUGACACACUAUAUAAGAAAUCUGAAAUAGAAUUUGCAAAAUUGAACUGAGUUACGGAGAGUAAAUAAGACUCAAAGGAAACAUGGGCAAUUAUUAUUAUCUAGGAAACAAUUCAUAGCUAAAACAAAAUUAACUAUACUUGCCAGGAAAUAUGGCGAAUUCCACCACCUCCUACAAGUUCUUAGGUGUCUUAGAGUUUGAUGACGACUUCCAUGCUGUCUCUUCGACAGGCAGCAAAAUUGGGCAAUUGACUACAUUAACUCCAAGAAAUUUAUGCAGUCACCUUCCUCCGGACUAUCCUCUUUCUUUGAGCUUUGGUUGCCCCUAUUUCCCCUUCAAUAGAGUCAUCACUGUUUUGUUUGAAGCCAAGGAGCCCAAGAUCAGAAAAAUGGCAUUCUUUGGUAUCAAUCCCUCGAUCCCAAAGUCACGUCACUAACUUUCUGUUGAUCGCGUAGCUAGUUCAUGUAUGCCACAGCAGCGGAAGGUAGCCUGAAGAGAAAAAACCUCUCUCUCUUUCUUGCUCAGUAACCACCUGGGCACUUUUGUGCUGAGCCAUGACAUCCUGAGAUGGCCUGUUGUGUAAGCCUUCUUCAAAAGGUCAUCUGUCGAUCUUUCUCCUAAUUAGACAUCCAAAACCCAGCAUGGAAUCCAUUUGAGAAGGUGGACAAUAGACAAACUCCAACGCAUACAGACAGUAAAGAAGAAUUUAGACGCAAUCACUGUGGCUGAAUAAAUGGGCCUAUUAAGCCUAUUAAAAGUUGGAACCAUAUUCACCACUCGCAGUUCCUUAGAGAACUUUAUCAGAAUUCUGAAAAUUUAAAACUAUUCUUACAUAUUUAACUGUAAAACAAGAGAAAUUGUACUUCCGUAGCAAAGUCUCACUAUUGGUAAGUAUCUGGACUUGGAAAGGAUGCUAGUUGAUUAAGUAAAGGAAAAUUGAAAUCAGACUUUGAGGUGAUAGAUCUAUAUACACUUUAAUCGGAACCACAUUAACAUCAUAUGAGCCAAACAAACAAAUUCCCCAGUCAAAGUUCAACAAACAAAACAUUAAAACAAGAGUAAUUUGGUGUAUCAAUGUAUAUAUAGAGAUGUCGAUCAUUGACAAAUACGUAAAAGAGGGAGGGAGAGACCUCAAAGCCGUGCUUAACAACAUUGCUACUCCAAUAACUUCAAAAUGGUUGGCGACGUCUCUAUCAAAGCCACACAAUAGCUGAUAUCUCAUGUUUGCAUGUAGUCCAAUGAAAGCACCAUAACCAAGAACAUUAGUACUCACAGAUGGGUUUGUCACAGAUAACCUGUCAGGCAAUAAAAAUUGCCCAAAUUAAACAAAUGUUAGACCGGCUUAGACAGUAAACGGAACAAUUUCUAAUUUUACUUAUUUUAUAACGAAUAAGUGAACAAAGGAAUGAAAAGGAAGUUUGGCAACAGUCUUUUUACCAGCCAGAUAGUUUGACAAAGAAUCUUGCACUGCUCCUGCAGCUAAUCCACCAUACACAACUCUGCAGUCUUGUUUGGGAGUCAAAAUUCUCAAAAUGGGUAACUCUGUUCAAAUAUACUGUUUGGGAACUUUUGUAAUGUAUUUUGCAAGUCAAACAGGAAGGUAUUUCCAUAAGAAGGUUCACUUCACAUGCUCAACAAUUCAAAUUUGCGGAUGAUAUUUCUCAAAAUGGAGGGCUCUAUUUGGCUUGCCAACAAUCUUCCUCACCAUUAUCAUCCUUGCUAUACCGGUUAAACUGAACAGUCUUCAUUCUGACAUUUGCCCUAUUAACCUGAGUACACAAGAAUCCGAAACAACUGUUAGAAAUUAUAAUCUUUAUAUAUAGCCAAAAUGUUGAAUAAGAUGAUGUACUUGAUAAUAAAAUACCUGAGUUAAUAAAUAAUUAAGGGCCGGUAACAAUGUCAGCAUCUUAUCAAGUGGGAAAGCCUACGCAACGAAGAUGCUGCCUGCUUUCAAGAAAUAAUAACUUUCCAAUUCCAUAAGGUAGGUUAAUGCCCUUUUAAAAAUAUCUCCACCAGCCUAACAAUUAUUCAUUGAAAUGUGUGAGUGUGAAUUCGAACGAAUUAAUCAAAUAUGAUGACACGAGAAAGAAAAUUAAAAUAACCACAAGAAGUAGAAAUAUACUUUUGUUAUAUUUAGUGCAUCUUCUGUGUGUGCUCAAACGCAAUGCCUCAAGGCGCAAGAUAAUUUUAUGACCAUCAAUCUUUUGCAGCCAUAUGCAGACUUGAAACAUUGGCGGUGGUUCUAAGGAACUUGAAAAUUAGAAAAGUUUCAAAAUGAGUGACUAAAUAUGAUAAUCGAAAUUAAUUAAAUAUACACGCCUUGUAAAUAUGAAACUAAAUUACUCAAAUGUAUGUGCCUCUUCGCGCAGCAAUUGCUCGUGGUGGAAACUUUACUGCAAAGACUUCCUCAAACCCUUGAAGAUCACACUCUUCCUGGCAACAAAGAAACAGAGUCGAUAUACGAAGAUGAUUUUACUAACAAGUGAGAGCUUGCAAAUAUUGGAAGGAUAACGAUUGCUCAUAACCCAAAUCCCCAAUACCCUCUAAUAUCUCACUCGAGUGAGUUCAAGCCCCCAAAAUUCACUACAGUGAAACUCUCGAAACAAAAUUCUCUUCAAAUAUUCUCAACUCAAAUUUGAUAAUGAUAUCUCUUGAAGGAAGGCAAAAAAUCUAACACUGAUCAAAUUGGCUUGUGAACAAUUAAUGUUCCUGGCCAUCAUUCAUACUAGGUGUGGCGAACAAUUAAGCUGCUUAGUAUCCUGAACCUGAUAACUUACACAAACACAAAACAACUUGCCUAAAGUUUAAUAUUUAGAGGCAGAACGGUAAAGAAGAAGAUAUAUAUUGAUACUAAAAUUUGACUUGCGUUACCCUGAUGUCAAGAAUAGCGGGAUCUCAUGUGGGCAAAAUCUUCGCAAUACGAGAUGCUUGCAAAAUUGAAGCAGCAUCUUAUCACCUGUAAUUUAAUUAAGAUAAUAACUUUCCCCGACUAUUUCAAUGCAUUAUUGGCAACUAAAUUCAGAGGGCGCUAAUUAAAUACCCUUUUAACAAUAUCUUCUUAUCUUCUUAAUCUAGCAGUUAUUUGGAAAAUCUAAAUGACACUUUUAUGUAUUCUGUGAGAUGCUCAUUCAACCAUGUUUGCAUUCUUCUUAUACUAAUAGGAGAUUUAAUUUUUACCCUCAAGUCAAUGUCAAUGUGAACGUUCUUUUGUGCUGCAAAUUGAAGGAGUCCCCACAGGAGUCACCGUCGUGGUUACUUGCUGCUCUUAAGAUAAUUAGUAACAAAAUAUUUGUAAACUGCAACAAAAAGCUCAGUGCAAUCUAUCUAUGAAUCUUGUGAGUUCACAUAUAAUACAGUCGAUUUAGAAUAGUCAUAAAUUUUUUUAUUAUAAAUAUUAGUAUAUUUUUAAUGGUAUAAUAUAUAUCGAUGAAACUAUAUAGAGUAAUUUCGCCUAAUUGUAUAAAUUCAUUACGAAUAUCAUCACAAAUUUGUAUUUGGUCGGGACCGUGCGAGUGAAAUUUUUGAUAAAAUCGUCUCCUGACAAUUUAUUUAUUAUAUUCCAUUCCUUUUAUUAUCAGGUAGGCCAAAGCCAUUUGGACAUUUGAAAAAAGUAUGUGAUUCUGUUUUAGUCUAUUAUGUCACGACAAAAAGAGAAUUGGAAAAUGUAACAUUCUCAAAUUAAUUUGUAGUGGAAAAGAGAAAAAUAAGACAAAAGUUGGAAAAAUCAUGCAGCCGACCCUUUUUUUUUAUCUGAUUGCGCAAUAUUAGGUAGGCGAAUGCGACUUCAUCGAUAUCACACAGCAGUGGUUCUGUCAUUAAUUUUUUCUUUUAUUUAAUUAAGAAAAGGAAGAAAAGAUAGCACAUGUUAUGAUUAUUGUGAAUUUUCCAUCCCUUAUAUAAAUUCUCAAAUUUAUUUAAAUUGUGAGUCAUAGAAGUAUAUUACCUAAACUAUUUUAUCAGGCCAUGUUCGGAUACUAGGAUUAAGUAUGGAAUUGGACUAAUUUUGUGAUUAUAUUUUAUAUCAAAUUUGGUAAGCUUAAUUGAAUUGGACUAAGGGACUAAAUUUAAGUUUAAUCCUAAAAUUAUGGGAUUAAUAAUCCUAAUUUACACAUUCCUUUAGUUGGGACUUGGGAUAAGAUUAAAGAAAAAAGUUAUCCAUUUAUGAGACUUUAAUUUAUGUCAUUAUUUUUUUAUUUAUACUUUAAUAUUAAUUAAUUUAUUAAUUUAUUUUUAAUUUAUGAUUUUACUUAAAAUUUAUUUUUAUUUAUUAUCUAUUAUCUGGUUAAAUUAGAACUUUACUUCUACUAACUCUUGCGAUUAAUUUUUCAUUACUUGCGUAUUUGAUAAUUUGCCAAUAAAAUUAACCAUUUAAUAAUUUCUUGCAUUAUUUGAUUGUAUUAAAUUUAAUAAUCACUAAUAUAAUAUUAAAAAUAAUCAUGAAAAUUAAUAAUACCUUCAAUUAAUUGAUUUUUAUAUACUUUUUUAAAUAUUUGAUAAGAAGUUGAUAAAAAUUAAUUAAGGAUUUAAAAUUUUAUUCAUUUUUUAUUUAUUUAUUUUAUCAUGAAUACCCAGUAUCUUACAAUAUAAUUAAUUUUCUUAUUCAGACUACUCAGCAUCAGCUCCUGUAAAAUUUCUUACAUUAUAAGCAACAAAAUAUUUAUAAACUACAACAAAAGGCUUAGAUCAAUCCACCGAUGAACCUUUUGAAGUUAUAUAUAAUAUAUUAAUUGUUGAUCUAGAAUAGUCUUAGUGGAUAGAUUUUUUUUAAUUAUAAAUAUUAAUAAAUUUUUUAUCGUUUAAUAGAUAUUGAUGAAAUUAUAUGGAGUAAUUUCGCCUAAUCAUAUUAAUUCAUUAUGAAUUUCAGCACAAAUUUGUAUGUGAUCGAUCUGGACCGUGUAAGUGAAAUUUAUUUACUAUAUUUUUCAACUUGGCCGACAACAUCUUUUUGUCAGGUAGGCAAAAGCAAAAGCCAUUAUCUCAUUAAUUGAUUUGGUCAUUUGAGAAUGUAACUCUAUUAUGCCGUGACAAACUCCAAGAUCUAAUUUAGAGAGCGACCCAAAUAAUGGUAAUUAGUAAUUUAUUACAUCUGCAGUUAGAUAGAUACUUUGUCUGGGAAAAAAAUAAAAUCAGUUUUAUAAUGAUUUUAAUUAAUUCAUUUGGUCAUUUGAAAAAGUUGUGGCUCUGUUUUAGUCCAGUGUCAAUAUAUAACUUUAUUAUGUCAUGACAAACUUCAAAAUUUAAUUUAGAGUGUGACUCGAAUAAUUUUAAUUAGUAAUUUAUUAUAUCUACAGUCGGAUACUUUGUUGAGAAAAAAAAAAAUAAAAUCUGUCCCAUAAUGAUUUUAAUAAAUAUCAUACUAUUGUCUACGGACUUACCUCAUAUUACAAAGAAUUAAAAUAUGCGAAAGAUAACUAAGGAAUAAAAUUUUUCCACAAUGAUUUAUAAAAAUUGCUUUUGAAGAACGGUUAUGAUAUUAUAUUAAAUUACUAAGAAUUUAGUUAACCUCUCAAGAAGUCUAUUUGGUUGACUUCUCGAGUUUAAAAUUCGAAUGUCAAAAAAGAUAAAAGGUUAAAAAAAAUAUUUUAAAUAUUAUCCACCCUUUUACUAUUUUAAUAUACAAAAAGAAGAAUUACUUGUUUUUAACAAUAGCAACCGGGGGCAUAAUAUAUCUGAUGGAUUUUUUUAAGGAACAAAACUUAUUAUAUCUCCUAUCAAAAAUGUCAUUUUUGUUAGUAAAAGGAUAUCUAUAUCUCCAAAUUUUGGAAAAAUGGUUACCAGCGCUUCCAAGUCCUAAAUUUUCAAAAAGAGACACUAAAACUCAUUUUUUACUACAAUACCCUUUACUUUUAUUAUCCCAAAAGUUAACUUUAAUUUUUUUUUAUAAUAAAUAGAAAUAUAAUAUUAAAAUAAAUGUAUUAAAAUUUAAAUUAUUAUGAAAAAUAAUAAUUUUAAUAUUAUUAGUAUAUGAGACUUUUUUAAUUGUAAAAUGUAUUUAAUGCAAAUAUUUAUUUAAAAUCUCUAGAAUAAAUACAAAUAUAUUAUUAAAAUAAAUAUAAUAAUUUACAUAUUUAAAUUUAUUUUAAUAUUAUUAAUCUACUACAUAGAUUACAUUAUUUAUAUAAUAUUUGUGUUUACUAAAAAUUUGCAAGUUAAAUUUUUUCGGGAUACUAAAGGUAAAGAGUAUUAUGGUCAAAAGAGAGUCUUGAUGUCAUUUUUAGAAAACUUGGGGUGUUGGUGACUAUUUCUCCAAACCAUGGGGAUAUAGAUAUCCUUUUCUCUUUUUUAUUUUAAACAAGUGGUGACUAAAGAUUAAACUGUCAUAUAUUCACAAGAUAUUCACCACAAAAUUUGUAGGAAAUUUCUUCUUCCCUAAGCGGAAAAUACAAAACAAAAACAUAAUUGGCAAUUUCACUAGCAAAACUAAUAAUACUUUUGUUCCAUAUCCAGGGGUAGAGCUCGGGGUAAAUCUUCAUGACGCCCAAAUUCAAAUUUCAAGUGUUAGCUGGGAAUUAAUUUUAGACAAUUUUAUUUAUUUAUUUAUAGCUAGUAUGUAAUUGUUAGGUAUUUCAAAAUUUGAGAAUUUUGUGAUUCUGUGAGAAUGUUGAUUCAAGCAUGUUUGCAUUCUUCUUAUAAGUACCAUAGGAGAUAUUUAGUUUUUUACCCUCAAGUCAAUGUCAAUGUGAACGUUGUUUUGUGCUGCAAAUUAAAGGAGUCCCCACAGGAGUCACCGAUUUGCUUUGAGAAUUUUGAGAAUUAUGUUUUGCGAGUGAAAUUGCCAUUUUGUCAUAAUGGAAUUUUGCUUUCUGAUCAAUAAUUGAGAAUUUUGCUUGUAGCUACAGGCUGCAGCGAUUUUGAUUUGACGGCUUUGAUUCAUAAUUGAAGUUACUGUUGCAAGUAAAAACUAAAAAAAUUAACAAAAUAAAAAUCAAAGACUUAGGUCCAUGUUGCAAGUAAAAACUAAAAAAAUUAACAAAAUAAAAAUCAAAGACUUAGGUCCAUGUUUUAUCAAAAUUUUAAUAAAAGGCUAUUUGUCAUUUUGUCAUAAUGGAAAAAUGAUUAACAAAAUAAAAAAAUCGAAUUUACUUGAUUUUAUUUUACAAAAUAUAAAUUAAAUUUCUAUUAUAUGUAUAAAGUUUAUACAUCAAGUGCUUAGGGGUCAAAUCAAUCUUUUUAUACCUAAUUUUUAAUAUUUUACUUCGAAACCUCAAAAAUUUUUAAAGUUUGUUGGGUCACAAUCCCCGCUAGGAGUGGGCAAAUUUGUGUUCAUAUCAACUUGAAUAGGUUUUGGGUUGAUUAGGCUAGAACUGGAUCAGAUCAAAAAGUAUGAGAGAAAUUAAUUGAGCUUCUCCCAAGAAAAAUACAUACAGAUGAUUGAUAUAUAACCAUUAAAUAAUAAAUAUGUUAGACUUACAUUUAUUUUUUAGCCCUAAAAGUAUGAAAAAAUUAAUACUUUCCGAAUUUAUUUUUUGUACCGUAAAGAAUCAAAUUACUCACAAAAUUAUUUUUAACUUUCAUCAUGCAAACAAACAAAUCAUCAUCAAUUUCAAUAGAAAGAAGUAGAAUAUGAUGUAUUUAGGACUUCCUACUCUAUUAGCUAGGUUAAUAACAUGUUAAUUGUCACAUCAUUAAUUUUAGAUUAUAAAUUUUAUAUUCAAACUUUGUAUGACUGCUCCUUUUUCAAUGAUCUAAUGUUAGAGUGCAAUUUAUGCACUAGUUUUGCAUUGUUUACUUCCUUUAAUAUUGAUAUUUUACACUUAAUAAUAGUGAUUUACUUGUAUUUUAUUUUUGUAGGUGCAAUUCUAUUGAUUGGUGCUAAAAUUGAGAUACAAGAUGAUGUUUAAGGAUGGUUGUUCUCUUGGAUAAAUUAUGAGUGUCAGAAGAACUUUGUUGAUAAGGCGUGGGCGCGUGCUGUCAACUACGGACCUGCAGUUUUUAGUUUAAUGUGUUUUGUAUUUUUGGUUAUUUUUGUAAUUAUGAAUUUAAUGUUUCAGAUAUUAGUAUUUUAUUUUAAAUAGAACUCUAGAGGAGAAGAGAGGGAGAGUAUUUAAGGGAGGAAUCUAUUGUGAAAAAUGUGAGAGAUUGGAGAAAAAGAAAGAAACCCUAGAUCUAAACUUUUCUCUUCUCUCUAUGAAGAACUAAACCUAUUUUUCUAGUUGAAGGUUAAUGAAGCUUUGAUUCAUCACUACUGUGAGAUCUUUCUUAUGCUUUAAUUGUUUUAUUGCUUUUUGGGUAUUUGUUUAUUUUUUGAAUUAUUUUCAUGAUUAUGUUUGUUAAUUAGGUAAUUGGACACUAUUUAAUUAUCAACUUAAUCUAUUGUCAAUUCAAUGAUUCAUCGUAUGAAGAUUUUAAUGUUUGUGACAAAUAACAUAGCAGUGAGUUGUAUUAUGAGAAUAAACAAUCUAAUUUAAAUGAACCAUCGUAUGUGUUUGUUGAUUAGGAUUUGGGUCUCUCUGGUUUUUCAGGCUGUCAAUUGAUAUAAUCUUAUGAUUGUAUUUAGGGUUGUCUAUUGAUUAGGGAAAUAACCAACGGUCGUACCUUGGUUAUCGACUAGUUAAGGAGAGAUUGGCUAUUAGAGGGUCUCAGUAGCUAUAACCGGUGUAUUCAUAAGUAGUAAUAAUUUAUAUUUGAAUCAAUGAUUAGUAGUCGAAUCAAGCUCAGUUAAUUCCUUCAACCAAAGCUUUCUCCAAUUUGAAUUACAACUUUAAUUUGCAUUCUAGUUAUUUUAAUUUGAUUUCUAUUAUUGUCAACAACUCCCCCAUUUUACGUUUUACAUUUUAAAAGGAUUUAAAUAAUUACCGAUCUCUGUGAACACGACCCUGCUCAAUCAUUAUACAUAAUUUAUUUAGAGUAUGUAUUUAUUUUUGCUGUCUUCGACAAUCAUCAAAUUUUGGCGCCGUUGCCGGGGAUUGGUGUCGUUUAUUUAAUCCUUUUUACAUUUUACUUGGUGUAUGGUUCAUUCUUCUCGUACAGGUACACUUUCGUUUGAUCCUGAAAUUGAGAAGACAGCUCGCCAGCUGAGACAGCAGACGAAGCAAGCUAAGCAACGAUUCUCGUCGCCUUUGCUUUUUGAAACAGAUACAGUGUCUGAUUUGAUUGAAUCAUCUAGCGAUUCAGAAGAACAAGUGAUGGAUAGAGCUGCACCUGUAGAAAGAACUCUUAAAGAGUUAGCUGAACCAGACUUGAAUCAGCAACCACUCUGCAUUCAAUAUGUAGACUUGGAGGUAAAUUUUGAAUUAAAGUCUGGUCUUAUUAAUUUAUUACCCAAGUUUCAUGGUUUUGCAGGUGAAGAUCAUCAUAAACAUCUCAAGGAGUUUCAUGUUGUGUGCUCAAGUAUGAGGCCACAAGGCGUGACUGAAGAGCAGAUUAAGCUGUGUGCUUUUCCGUUCUCUGCAGAUGGGCUAGCUAAAGACUCGUUGUACUACUUGCCUCCUGGAUUGAGUACAACGUGGAAUGGUUUGAAGAAGCAGUUCCUUGAGAAGUACUUUCCUGCUUCAAGAGCUGCCAACAUCAGAAAAGAUAUUUGUGGGAUCAGACAACUUCCUGGGGAGAUUUUGUAUGAGUAUUGGGAGUGAUUCAAACAAUUGUGUGCCAGCUGUCCUCAGCAUCAGAUUUCUGAUCAACUUCUUAUUCAAUAUUUUUACGAAGGACUGUCAUUGAUGGAUAGGAGUAUGAUAGAUGCUGCUAGUGGAGGCGUGUUGGUGAACAAGACCCCUACUCAAGUAAGGGAGUUGAUCUCAAAUAUGGCUGCCAAUGCACAACAAUUUAGCAGCAGGCAAGAUCCCACUUCAAAGAAGGUGAAUGAGGUAAAUAUUUCUUCUGUUGAACAACGUUCAGAUAAACUUACUUCUCUUGUGGAAAAGUUUGUUUUAGGUAAUGUACAAUAGGUGAAGACUUGUGGCAUCUGUUACAAUAUGGGUCAUUCAACUGAUAUAUGUCCUACGCUUCAAGAAGAACCCGUUGAACAAGCCAAUGUAGUUGGAGGAUUUCCAGGCAAGCCUCAGAAGAGGUAUGAUCCUUAUGCACAAACAUACAAUUCAGGGUGGAAGGAUCAUCCCAACUUCAACUAUGGAGUUAGGCCGUCAGGAUUCCCACAACAGUAUCCACCAAGACAACCAGCACCUCCACAGUCAAACUCCAAGUCAGGUAUAUCUCUUGAAGAAAUUGUUAAAUCACUUGCAACUAACACUCAACAAUUUCAGCAGGCAACUACAGCAAGCAUUCAGAAUUUGGAGAACCAAAUGAGUCAAUUGGCCACUACAAUGAGCCGUCUGGAGUUUCAAGUAUUAGGGAGAUUGCCUUCACAAUCUGAGGUAAAUUUAAAGCAAAACGUUAGUACUGUCAUCCUUAGAAGUGGGAAGGAGUUACAAGAGCCUAGUAAGAAAGUGACAAAGCAUGUAGAAGAUGAGCUUGAGAAGAAUGAAUUGAUGCCUAAAUCUCAAGAUGCGCAACCCACCAAAGCGAAACCCCUACCUAUUGUGAUACCUCCUCAUUUUCUAAGCCGGUUUGUAAAAUCCAAGAAGGAGGAACAAGAGAAAGACAUCCUUGAGACAUUUCGCAAGGUUGAGGUAAAUAUUCCUUUAUUAGAUGCUAUAAAACAAAUACCUCGAUAUGCUAAAGUUCUUAAGGAACUGUGCACCUCCAAGAGAAAAUUAAGAGGAGAUGAAAAAGUUCACAUGGGGGAGAAUGUUUCAGCAGUUCUCCAAAAGAAAGUACCUCCUAAGUGCAUGGAUCCAGGUAUGUUUACUAUCCCUUGUAAAAUUGGUAGUGUUAGAGUUGAAAAUGCUAUGUUAGAUCUAGGAGCUUCUAUUAAUGUCAUGCCUCGUUCCAUUUAUUCAUCUUUGAAUGUUGGUCCAUUGAAAAAAACUGGCAUGAUAAUUCAACUAGCUGAUAGGUCUAAUGCAUAUCCUGAUGGGGUAUUAGAAGAUGUCUUAGUACAAGUUCAUGAGUUGGUUUUUCCUGUUGAUUUUUAUGUACUUGAUAUGGAAGAGGAUAACUCCUCUAAUUCUUUCCCAAUUUUGCUAGGAAGACCUUUUCUUAACACUACUAGGACUAAAAUGGAUGUACAUAAAGAGACUCUCACUAUGGAGUUUGAUGGAGAGGUUAUAGAAUUCAAUAUGAAUGAUGCCAUGAAAUAUCCUAAUGAGAAACAUUCGGCAUUUUCUGUGGAUGUUAUUAACCCUAUAAUGCAGGAAGUUUUUUACAAGGAAAAGACGAAGAAAUUUCAUGAUAGAAUGAUUUUGAGAAAGGAGCUCUCUGUUGGUCAAAAAGUUCUUUUUUAUUCUAAGCUUAAACUUUUUCCGGGUAAAUUACGUUCUUGCUGGGUUGGACCUUUUAUUAUUACUAAUGUUUUUCUUCAUAGUGCAGUUGAGAUUCGGAGUCCGACCUCUGACAAAGUUUUUAAGGUUAAUGGUCAUCGGUUAAAACCUUUUUAUAAAGGUUUUUCGGUGAAUAUUGUGGAGGAUAUGGCUCUCAAGAGUCCCAAUUAUGGAGAUUGAUGCAUAAAUGUGUCUAACCAAAGACAUAAAACAAAGGCGCUUUUUGGGAGGCAACCCAAAUGAUUUAUUUAUUUUGGUUUUUGUUAUAUCUUCUUUUCAUUUUGAUUCAGAUUUUUUAAAAAAAAUAACGUGUUUGCUUAUUUUGGCCAGAAGAAAAUGUUUGAUAAGGCGUGCCCACAUCUUAACUAAUAAGUACUUCUGUGAUUUUUAACGUAAAAUGGUUUUAAGGCGUGCGCACGUGCUUAUUAAAAAAGUACUUCUGAAAUUUUUAGUGUCUCAAGUGAUACAUCACUAAAAAAAAAAUUAUUUUAUUUAUUUAUUUAUUUGAAAAUUAAAAAAAUAAAAAAAGUUUUUUUUUCUUUUCUUUCUUUUAUAUUUUUAUUUAUUUGAAAAAAAUUUAAAAAAUGAAAAAAUAAAAAAAAGUUUUUUCUUUUUUUCUUUUAUAUAUUUUAUUUAUUUAUUUAUUUGAAAAAAAAUUUAAAAAAUAAAAAAAUUUUACUGUUCACAAAAUCCCUAAUUCACAGAAUUAGUGUUCUUCUCCAGCCGCUCCAGCCUUCACCGAGCAGCCACGCAGCACCAGCUCCAUCCCCAGCGCGCAGCAUCAUCCCCAGCCAGCGCGCAAGCAACCAGCCCCAACCCGCGCAGCACAACCAUCUGCGAAUAACCUGAACCAACAGCCGUGUACCUGCAAGCUCCAGCCGAGCAGCAACCAUCCGCAGCCGGCCUACGCCCUGCAUUCUAGCCGCGUGAAUCAAAAUCCGUGAGUUCAAUUAUUGUAACAAUGCCGAAGAGGAAAGCAUCAACUUCCAAGUCAUCUAAAAAGACACUCGUCGCAAAGAAAUCCAAGAUUUCCGCUCCCACUACGGUUCCAUGGAACACAGUUUUAGAUUCACGCCAAGCCGUGAGAUAAAGAUCGAAACAUGGAAAAGGCAUGAGUGUUUUGCCACUUGCGGAAUCCAAUCUCAGAGGGUGCCUCACAUUCACGACUCAACAAGAGAAAGAAAUGUACAAAGAUAUUUCCAAGCGAAAAAUACUUCCAGCUAAGUAUAUUCAUUACCCGACUCUUGAAAAAUUGAAUGUCAAGAAUAGUUUUGAUUCUUUGAUAGAUAAGAUUGGUUUGCGUAAGUUUGUUGAUGUUGAUUGUUUGGGUUAUGUUGAGUUGAUUAGGGAGUUCUAUGCUACUUUUCAAUUUAAUAUACUGAAUGAUUUUACUUUGCAUACCUCAGAUGUUAUAAAGUUUAGGUUAAUGGGACGAAAUUUUUCACACUCUAUCACGGAUUUUAACCUAGUUUUAGGAUUCAUUGAUGAUGAUUAUUCUUCUAGUGAUGUAUAUUUAGGGACAACUUGUGACUUUAGCGAAAAUUUUGAGCCUUAUGGUCUUUGGCGUAAUUUAUCUGUUGAUCACAAUGCCUAUGACCCAAGUAAAUCAAAGAGUUCUUUCUUACGUGAUCCUGUUUUGAAAUGUAUGCAUCGGUUCUUAGCAUAUAAUUUUUUAGGAAAGAAAGAUCACUCAAGAGUUUUCUCUAAAACUGAGUUUUGUUUUAUCUGGUGCAUAUUAAAUGAUGUGAGGCCUAACUUAGGUUUUUGGUUAGCAGAUCAAUUUCAAAGUGUGCUUAAACGGUAUAGGACUUUAUUUCUUGGUUCAUACAUUACUCUGUUAGUUAUAAACUUAUGUGUGCUUGAUCAUGACAACAAUGAUUUAUAUCCUGCUUGCAAAAAGAAAUUUUUGGAUAUGUCUGUGUUUGAAAGAACAGGUGUGGUCGAAUUCAAGGAGGGGAAAUUUCAGUUUACUGAACCAGGACCCACCCAACUUCCAAAGAAGUUUUAUACUAGGAGUGGUGCUACCUCUGAUGACGAGUUUGACGACGAAACUGCGGCCCCACCAACUAUUCCUUUUACAUCCGCACAACCUUUGAGCAUUCAGUUAGAGAAAAUGGAGCACAAGCUGAACAAGAUGGAGCAGAAUUUGGCCUCAUACUUCGAGAGUGUGGGAUUUAUCCCACCAUUUCCACUAAGCCCAUAGACGUUAUGAGGAUCAAAGCUCACAAUUCAGGAAAGUUUUCGCCUUUAAUCUUUUAUCCUUACGCUUUAAUUUUUAUGUGAGCUUUGAUUAUCUUACAUUGGGGACAAUGUAAGUGUCUGUCAAUGACAAAUUUAACCCACUACCACCAUUCAUAAUUAACCAAAAUCAAAUAAAUUAAAAAAGAAAACACAAAACAAGGAUAACUACUAGUUGUUUUGAUCAUCCUUGCUUCUUUUUCUUAGCAUAGCUCUUGUAAUGAAAAUUAACAAAAAGGGCCAAAAGGGAAGCAUUAAACACAGUAUUGAAGCACCAACCCCAAAACCCAGGGAAACCAAAUCCCGUGAAAUGAUAAUUCAGCAUCAAAAUGAAAAAUGUUAUGGAUGGCUGUGAUGGGUCUGAGGAUGUGGGGUCCAAUGAGAGGUGAUGAUGAUGGUGAUGUUGAUGUUGAUGUGUGGUAGAGGAUGGAUGUGAGGGAGAGGUAAGUAAUGAUGGAGUGAAUGAGGAUGUGUGGGAAGAAAGCUAGGGUUUGGUCUUGAGUCCACGUGAAGUUGAAGACUUGUGGGUGGCUUACAAGCAAUAAUGGAGUGUUAAGCUGAUUGAAUUUGAAGCCAUGGCUGGUUUUGGGGGAAGAUUGAUUUGGGAGAGAUGAUGGUCAGAGGAAUGGGGGAGUUUAGAAAGUUUGGGAUAUUGUGACGGGUGUUUUAGGCAUAUUUUUUCGUCUUAGCUUAAAUUUUUGUUAAAAAAAUGAUAAAUUCUUUUCUCAUAUCAAUUUAAAACUCCGAGUAUGUUUCCAAUUCUUCUUCUAUAGUGUCUAGACCUUUGUUUCAACGGCAUCUUUGGACGCGGGUUUCUUCUUUUUUGGUUAUUUCUUCUCAAACUUGUGCAGAUUACAUGCACUCAACGUGGAACCCUUUUGAAUGGAAGUUACUGUUUUGCUGGAAUCGGGACCAAUUUUUUGACAAAAAUUUCGCUAUAAAAUAUACAAUUAAAGUCGAGUAAGAUUAAGUAAAGUAACAUCUUGUAUGGUAAAGUACAUCGAGUAAGGAUUUCUAUAAUCGAGCUAGAAAGUAUAAUUAAAAUUAGAUAAGAGUGCCGCGGAGCAUUGUUUUAAAGUUACAGUAUCAAAGUAUUUAAUAAAUAUUUAUUAUUGUGACUUAAAAAUUAAGUUGGGAGUACAAAAAAAUCAAUAAUACAUUUAUUAAUUUUGUCAAAAUUAUUAUUUAAAAAUCAUAUAUACAAUACAAGAUCAACAAUUAUAUUAUAGCUUCAGUUCCUUUUUCACAAUAACUAUAACUACAACACGGUAGUACUAAAUAGGAAGUCGAGUAUGAUCAAGUAAUUACAUGUUAUGGUUUUUUGGUAUUACAUGAUUCUUCAAACUGAAAUUUGCGAUCAAAAUUGUAUCAAAGAAAUCACAGAGACACUCUGUUUGACAAAUCUGCAGUAGAAUUUGCACAAUUUAACUGGAUUGCAGAGAGUGAAUAAGAUUCCAAAGCAACAGGCAAUUAUUGUUAUUAAGAAAACAAUUCAUCGCUAGAACAAAAUUAACUUUUCUAACAUACUAGAAUUUAACUGGAGAAAAAUUGGAAUAUACGACGUUGUAUCACAUAUAGUAUUUAGACAUCAAGAAAAGAAUCCCUCUAUUAGUGAACUAUACUUGCCAGGAAACACGGUGAAAUACCACUACCUCCCUACUAGAUUAAUGCAGCAAAAUUGGGCAAUUGACUUGAUUAACUCCAAGAAAUUUACGCAGUCACAUUCUUCCGGACUAUCCUCUUUCUUCGCACUUUAGGAGCUGUUGUUUCCCCUUACAGAGUCGACAUUCCCUUGUUUGAUGCCAAGGAGCCCAAGCCCAGAGCCAAUGGCAUUCUUUGGUAUCAACCACUUUGGGAACUUUUGAGUUGAGCCAUUGACAUCCUGAGACGGCCUGUUGUGAGCCUUCUUCAAAAGGUCAUCUGACUGAAGUAGCGGAUCCGCUUCCACUCCUAGCCAAGCAAGCCUUGAUCUUUCUCCUAAUUGGACAUUAAGAACCCUGCAUGGAAUCCAUUUGAGAAGUUGAACAAUAGACAAAGUCCAACACAUAUAGGCAGUAAAGAAGAAUUUGGACAGCAAUUACUGACUGUUUAUGCACAGGGCUGAACAAAUGGGAAUAUUAAGGCACUUAAAAGUUGGAACCAUAUUCACCACUUGUAUUUCCUCAGAGAACUAUCUCAGAGUUCUGUUAAUUUAAAACCAUUCUAACGUAUUUAACUACAAAACUAGAGAAAUCGUACUUCUGUAGCGGAGUCUCACUAUUGUUAAGGAUCUAGACUUGGAAAGUAUGCAAGUUGAUUAGGUAAAGAAAAAUUGAAAUAAUACUUGGUGAUAGAUCAACACACUUCAAUAGAAACCACACUAACAUCAUAUCAGACAAAUAAACAGAUUCCCCGAGUCAAAGUUUAACAAACAAAACAUUAAAACAAGGAUAAUUUGGUACGACCAGAAUAGUCUAUCAAUGUAUAUAGAGAGGGAGAGACCUCAAAGCAGCGCUUAAGAACAGUGCUACUCCAAUAACAUCAAUAUGGUUGAUGACCGCUCUAUCAAAUCCAUUGGAAAUCGUAUACUUAUAAUUUUUUUUUUCAAACUUUGUCUAAAAUAAAUGAAUGAGAUAAGAUAAAUUCGAAUAAAUUAAUCUGCAUAAUGACACAAGAAACAAAUGUAAAUUGACCACAAGUAGAAAUAUACUUUUGUUAUCUUCCAAUUUCUUUCCCUUGAGCUCUGUUUCUGCGAGUGCUCAAAAGCAAGACACGGGCCUUGUUAAGAGUAUAGCUGAAGCUGGUGACGUGUAUAAGCUGCUGAUGAAGCUGCUGAGCUGGCUGGCUAGUGAUGUGUAUAAAUUGAAGGUGCUGAGCUGGAUUGGGUUGUUGUUUACACCAACUAAAGCUGUAACAGAUUAUCCAGCUGGCUUGUUAUGAUUGGAAAUUAGAUUAGUUUGUUAAUACAGCAAACGAUUAGCUCUGUUUUAGUAGUUAGCCUUGAAUGUAACUAUAAAUACUGGCUAACACGUUUUCAGUGUUAAGCUUGAGUUUUAAUCAAUAAAAAUCAAUUCAGUUAAAGUUUCUUUGUUAAUUUUCUUUCACUUUCUCACUUGCCAAACAACCUAUUAAUUCUAAAAGGCCUCAAGAUAUAAUUAUCAUCAUCAAUCUUUUGCAGCCACAUGCAGUACUUGGAAAAUGUUUAUGGCCCUAAAUAACUGGAAAAUCAGAAAACAUUAAGAACAAGAGACUAAUCAUUUUAAUCGCAACAAAACAUGCACACUAUGAAAAUAUAAAAUUGAAUUACUUCGAAUGGAUGUGCCUCUUAACAGGAAUUGCACAAGCUAAUGAGCAAGUGAGCCUUGAACAGUUAUCACUCAACUCAAACUAAAAUGAAAUUACUGUGGACAUGUGAAUUAAAAAUAGAUGUAAAAGUAGUUUUCUCAAAGCAAAGUCAAGAUAAGAGAUUAACUCUGCUCCGUAAUUACAUUAAAAAUAACAAACAAUGAAAAACAGAGCUAGAGAAGAACUUACCUGUGCGUUGAGACCAUGUGGGGAAUGUGAGAUAUCUUCUUAGAUUUGGUUUGAGAAACCCUGCCAAUUAAAAUUUCGGUCCCCAUGUAGCAGAAUUUCUUAUUUUUCCUUUGUACACAAAUGCAGACACUUAAGCAAAUUAAGAUUUCUUAUCUAAAGCAAAUUAGGAUUUCUUUUGACCCUGCAAAUUACAAUUUCAGUCCCCAUGUAAUAGGAAAAUUUUGUACACAUAUUUAUAGCAAAUUAAUAUUUCAUACCUCACAAUAUUUAUCAGAACCAUCAAUCUUUAGAAACCACAUGCAGACUUGGUAAACUGUUUAUGGCCCAAAAUAACAGGAAAAUUAGAACAGAUUUUUAAGAAUGAGCGACUAAAUAUUUCAAUGGCAACUAAAAUUACACAUCUUGGAAAUCUGAAACUCAAGUACUCAGAACACUGUUAGUGCAUUGCAUAAGUCAAUUGCAUAAUCUUGGGUAAAAAUUACGCAGCAAUUAAACAAGCUGGGAACUUUAGUGCAAAUGCUUUUUCAUAAUCUUCAAUUGCAUAAGUCAGUUAGAAUCAAUCUUUCUUAAUCUUUCAAUUCACAUAUGAGAGCCUGAUAACACAAGGAAACACUGUAAGUGAAUUGUCAACUGUGACAAAUUUUGGGUAAAAAUUAUCAACUGUAGUUAUCUGCAUAACAUUUAGUGUCAACCCCAAAUUCCUUACUGAUCCGUGGAAGCAUUUCAGCCCACAGACGGUUAGCUUUGUCAAUAUACGGCAACUCAGGAUUCUAUAUUUAAACUAUGAUGUUUGAUGACUUGCUGAUACAAAAGACAUUGCCCCAAGCACUUUUUUACAUUAGCUAAAAUCAAGCCAAUCACUUCCAUUUGUUGCAGUUUUAAUGCAGAAAGAAAAAGGUGGGGAAAAAAUCUGCAAGAUGCCACUUGUAAUACCGCAUGUUCGCAGAAGCAGAGUUAAAUAAUUACAAAAUUACAUUCUUUAUGAAAGCUUGCGAUUAUUGGGAGAGCUCUACUCAAAUUUAAUGAGAUAUCUCUCAGAAGGGAGAGCUCUAAUAAUAUAUAAAGCCAAAAAUCUAACACUCAUCAAAUUGGCUUGUGAACAAUUAAUCUUCCUUGCCAUCAUAAAUGCCAGGUGUGGUGAACAAUCUUCAUUCUGACAUUUGCCUUAAUAAGCUGCUUAGUAUCCUUAACCUGAUAACUUACACAAACAAAAACAACUUCACUAAAGUUUAUUCUUUAAAGGCAAAACAGUAAACCAGAUGAUGUAUGCUGAUACAAAAAAUUGACCUGAGUUAUCCUGAUGUCAAGAAUCACAGAACCUCACGUGGGCAAAAUCAUCGCAAUACAAGAUGCUGAAUUCAAGCAACAUCUUAUCACCUGUAAUUUAAUUAAGACAAUAACUUUCCUCAACUAUUAGCCUUCUCAAUUUCAAUGUAUUAUUGGCAACUAAAUUCAUAGGGGACGCAGCUAAUUAAAUGCCCUUUUAACAAUAUCUUCCCCACCUAACAAUUAUUUGGAAAAUCUAAAUGACAAUCAUGCAUUGAUGGCAUAAAAUAUUGGCCACAAAGCUGCCUACAAAAAGGCUUUAAAUUCUUAAUGAGACAACGUAUUCGAACAAAUAUGGUGAAUGAAGAGACAAAGCAUAACACCUCAAGAAGUAAAGCUCUGUUUCUGUAUAUGCUCAAACCAAUGGAAACCCAUGGAAAUGGAUUUCUACGAAUUAGACAUGUCAGCCAAAACAGGUACUCUGUACAGGCAAAGUAAAAGAGAGUUACAAAAAAUUUUAAGAUAAUUAAACUUUUAAUAACCAUAUAAUUAAUAGAAAACUUUGUACACAAUGAUUUAUAUGAGAUUAAGAUUGUAUACCUAAGUUUUAAUUGCAAACUAAAUAUACACAACAUGAUAUUAGCAUUAGAAGACUGCACCAAAACGUACCGAAUUGAAUGUACCUUUUAACGGCCAUUGUACAUGCAUUGAAAGUUUACCGCAAAAUCUGUUUCAAACGUGAUGCAUCUUAGAGAUGCAAGAUGAGAAAUUGUUAGUACAACUAGCAUUGAAACAUGUGUGAAAACUGUUAAUGGACCUAAAUAACUUGAAAAUCAGAAAAGAUUAGGAAUGAGUGACUAAGCCUGCUAAUCACAACUAAUCCAAAACUGUUAAUGGACCUAAAUAAUAGUGUUAAUACCGAAUUCCUUCCUCCAUGGAAGCAUAUGAUCAGCCCACAUGUGCUUUGCUCUGUAGCUUUUGAGUACCUGAAAUUGUUAUUACAACCAGCGGUGAAAAUUGGGUGAAAAAAUGGUAAUGUUAGCAUAAUUGAAUUUGCUUAUAGAGGAUAAACCGAUCAAAGAAAAAAACAAGAUAGAAAUGAUUAUCUUAGUACCUUAAUAUCAUGCAAUAAAAAUCACCAUGCCUUCCAGGCAGCUGUCCAUCCUCAAUUGAAACAGAGCAGACCUGGCCAUCACUUUCUUCUUCAAAGUCCAGCAACGGAACGUUGCACACAACACCACAGUGGAAGUAGUUCCAUCACCAGCCUAAUCCUUGAUUACCCCAAUGUUCUCCAUAGGGUCUUCAAAGUCAACCUAAAAAUAAAAUGAAAAUGCAAUGCAUUAUUAUUAGGGAUCUAGUGCUUGAGCUUGCUUUGACAUCAUGGUAUUAGCAAAUUCUGAUAUAGCCAAAAUGGUGAAUAAGAUGAUGUACUUGAUAAGAAAAACCUGAUUUAACAAAUAAUUAAGAAGCCGGUAACAAUCACAUAAUCUCAUCAUGUGGGGAAUGCCUUGGUAACAGAAGAUGGUGCUUUCAUUCAAGCAAUAGCAACUUUCCAAUUUCAUAAGGUAGUUUAAUGGCCCUUUUAAGAACAUCUGUACCAGCCUAACAAUUAUUCAUGGAAAUUAAAAUUCAGAAUCAUAUUAGAUUGAGAGAUGAAAUAUAAUAAGCGAUUUGGCCACCAUAUAUGCAUUUAUCACCUUCAAUUUGCUCAUCUUUGUCUAGAGUAUUGCUUCUGCAUUAACUUAAUUAGCUUGCAAGCCACCUACAAAUGGUUUUAAAUAAUGUGUGAGAGUGUGAAUUCGAACGAAUUAAUCAAAUAUGCUGACAGGAGAAACAAAAGUAAAUAACCACAAGAAGUAGAAAUAUACUUUUGUUAUAUUCAGAGCAUCUUCUUGCGUCAAGUUCUUUUCCUUUAGCUCUGUUUCUGUUUGUGCUCAAACGCAAUGGCUCAAGGGUCAAGAUAAUUUUAUGACCAUCAAUCUUUUUGCAGCCACAUGCAGACUUGAAAAACAGGUCGUGGCCCUAAGGAACUUGAAAAUUAGAAAAGAUUCAGAAUGAGUGACUAAAUAUUAUAAUCGAAACUAAUUAAACAUACACGCCUAGAAAAUCUGAAACUGAACUUCUCA